CAAGGACUAUAUUAUAUUUUUCUUCAAUCAGGAAUUUUCCAAAACCCUAGUCGAUUACGAGAUCCAACCUAGCUUGGCUUAUCUCUCAAGUUUUUUUAGAAGAGUACGUCUUAUUGAAUAAUGAUGAAGAUGAAGGAGGCUACGCAGGAGGAGUCUGUGACUGCCACAUCUGUUCUUUGGGACAUCAAUAGGUGUCCGCUUCCCGAUGGCUGUGCUCCUCGUCUGGUCCGUCCGAGUAUUAAACGGCUAUUAGAGAAUCAUGGCUACCAUGGUGAUGUCACCGUCACUGCGUUUGGUGACCUAUCGGGCGUACCUGUUGACUUCCUGAGAGAAGUCUUUUCCAGUGGAAUCAAUCUUAACGUCGUCACCCUCCAUCACUUAAACAUCUUGGACCUAAUUGAUACCGACGACAUAGAUCCACCUCCAACUAAUUUUAUGGUUUUAUCUCCUCGGAAAGAAUGCGGUCGUUUAUCUGACUUACUAAAGUUGUAUGGUCACAACCCUCUCCAGCCGUUUCCUUUUGAGUCUUUUGAAAGCAUAAUUAUGGAAGAUUCAGAGGAGGAAACAGGUGGAUCUGCCUUGUGGGAUUGCUUAAUAUGCGCCUGUGAUCCUCCUGGACAAAUCUUUGAAAAUCUCAUCGCUCAUCUGUCUGAUGAAGAACAUCAUCAUUAUUUUCGUCACGAGAUGGCUACAAGAUGGAUGCCUCCUGAUCCGGACGACGACGCUGCCGUGGUGCAUUCGCCGGCCAAUGCGAUGCUGACGAACUAUGCACCUCCACCUCCUCAUGUGAUAGACUGGGAGGUUGCAAAGGUUGUGGGUGAGACAGUGGUCUUUUGGGACAUCAAUUCGUGUCCCGUUCCCCUUGGCUUUGAUGCUAGUCUGGUCGGUCUGUGCAUCAAACGGUUCUUGAGGAAAGAAGGCUACUCUGGUCAUGUCACCAUCGAAGCCAUUGGCGUUCUAGCAGACGUCCCUAAUGACACUCUGGAAAAAGUCUAUUCCGGUGGAAUCACUCUUCAUAACGUCCCCUACGGUCCCUCAGACACUGUGAAGCUCGUUUUUGAGCGUUCCAAUAGGCCUGGUCCUCUAUGUAACAUAAUGGUCAUAUCCAAUGCCAAAAUCUUUGCUUGGGAGUCUAAGUCUCAAACAUUGAGAUGCAACCUUCUAAAGCCGUUUCCCAUCGAUUCUAUUCAGCGCUUUUGUGUGGCAGAAUCAGUUGAGGAGGAUCAAUGCAGUGAAACGGGUGAGUCUGCCUUCUUGAUUUGCUCAUUAUGCAACUACCAUAGUCUUCCCUUCCACAGAUUUGGAAGUUUUGCCAUGCAUCUCAACAGUAGACGCCAUCAACAGAAGUUGUCGGAGCUGUUGCCCAUAAGUAAGCAACUCCAGUGCUUGAGUGCACCACUAAGUGAGUCUCCUGAGAAAGACUUGGGGGCUGUAACAUCGGUCUUUUGGGACAUCAAUAUGUGUCCGGUUCCACCAGGUUGUGUUCCUCGUCGCGUAGGUCCGUGUAUUAAACAGUUUUUGGAGAAUAAAGGCUACUCUGGUCCUCUCACCAUCACUGCCAUUGGCGUACUAACAGACGUCCCUAAUGACAUUCUGGAAGGAGUCUAUUCCAGUGGAAUCUCUCUUAAUAACAUCGCCUCUGUUUCUGAAACAGGGUUUUUUGCCACUGUUGAUCGUCUAAUUUGUGAGUUUACUGUUGAGAAUCCACCUCCAGCUAAUCUAAUGGUCAUAUCCGACGCAAAAUCCUUCACUUCUGAUGAUGCAUUCUCGCUAGAAUCGAGGGGAUACAACAUUCUUCAGCCGGUUCCAUGUGAUUCUCUUGAAAGAUUUUUCUUGGCAGCUUCAGAGGCACUUGAGGAGGAGGAUAAGUGCAGUGAAACCAGUGAAUCUGCCUUCUGGAUUUGCUCGGUAUGCGACGAUCUUCGUGGCCAAGGGUUUGGAAGUUUUACCACUCAUGUUACUAGUUGGUCACACAAGCGGAAGCUGUUGGACUGGUUGCCUGGGAAUGCUCGGUUUCUUCGUAAGGAGUGUGCUCCCAACCUUGGUGACCAAGCUACUAGCGAAAGUGGAAUAAGGAGUAGUAGAGAAACAUGAAGAAAAAAAGAACUGAAGAAUGCCGAUGGUGUGUGUUUAAGUAAGAAAACUAUGCCCGAUGCCGAUGGUGCAUUCGACCGCACAUGCGAUGCUUACGAACUAUGCACGUCCAACAGUUCUUUAUCUCUGACAUCAAGUCCAACAAUAUAUUUAUACUCAUUACCAGGUUAUCAUAACCUAAGACGGAUAAAAAUCGAUUAAAAUUUGAUGAAACGUUACAAUCAAGUCUAAAUUAUUAAAAUUGCAUCGUAUGAGGAUUGGACUAAAAAGAUGACUUGUAAAGCAACUCUUGUUUCCGUGAAAGUUAUCACAUUAAUUUGGAGAUAUGUUUCCUUUUA
This is an RNA transcript of Camelina sativa (false flax), 2432 nucleotides long. RefSeq lists it as uncharacterized. NCBI's taxonomy places the organism in Eukaryota, Viridiplantae, Streptophyta, Magnoliopsida, Brassicales, Brassicaceae. The record is from RefSeq and is a predicted model, not a curated record.